Molecule: long non-coding RNA, 347 nt
Filed under: Mytilus galloprovincialis (Mediterranean mussel)
Lineage: Eukaryota; Metazoa; Mollusca; Bivalvia; Mytilida; Mytilidae
Source: RNAcentral
AAAUAAAUUACGUAAACAAUUUAUAUUGUUCCCUUAGCAAUUAAUUAUUUUGUUAUGUUACAAAGAUUAGUUUCAAAAUGUACAUCAAAUGAUACUUCUUGAGUUAAUGUAGAACAUGAGUUAUCGUUAUUAUAUUAUUUGUUUCGAAAGUUAAAAUGUGCGUUUACGACGAUUUUUUUGUAAUUCAGUCUAAAACAUGGAGGACAGUAUUGUUUAGCCUUAAUCAACAGCACACGAUAACUAUCAAACGAAUUAAAUGUUUAAGAAAUUAAAGUUUGCAUUUUAAUCAAGGAAAAUAAUGACCAUACACAGGUCAUUAUUUUAUGCCUUGAAAAUUGGUAUAGUCC